This 662-nucleotide ribosomal RNA is filed under the name Tritonoranella latitudo. RNAcentral's name for it is "partial 16S ribosomal RNA". The stretch from base 1 to 588 matches the Rfam family "Bacterial large subunit ribosomal RNA", at positions 1816 to 2925 of the family's 2925-position model. The record is from RNAcentral. Lineage: Eukaryota; Metazoa; Mollusca; Gastropoda; Littorinimorpha; Bursidae.
CAUGGCUCCUUGAACAUAAUAUAUAAGGAGUCGGACCUGCCCAGUGAAAUAUUUUUAACGGCCGCGGUACUCUGACCGUGCAAAGGUAGCAUAAUCAUUUGCCCUAUAAUUGAGGGCUAGUAUGAAUGGUUUGACAAGAAUAAAGCUGUCUCCGUGUAAUUAUAUAGAAUUUUAUUUUUAGGUGAAGAAGCCUGAAUUAUAUUAAAAGACAAGAAGACCCUAUCGAGCUUUAAAGAAAUUAAUAAAGUAAUAAUAAAUAUUAAUUAAAAUAAAUUUUAUUAAAAAUUUUGGUUGGGGCGACAAAGGAACAGUUAAAGCUUCUUUUUGAAUAACAAGACCUACAGGUAAUUGAUCCAGAAUAAUUCUGAUUAAAGAAAUUAGUUACCGUAGGGAUAACAGCAUUAUCUUUUUUGAGAGCUCAUAUCGAAAAAAAGGUUUGUGACCUCGAUGUUGGACCAGGAUAUCCAGAAGAUGCAGAAGUCUUCAAGGGUUGGUCUGUUCGACCAUUAAAAUCCUACGUGAUCUGAGUUCAGACCGGCGUGAGCCAGGUCAGUUUCUAUCUUUUAUUAAUAAAGUAAGUUUAGUACGAAAGGACCAACUUAUAGUAUUGUUAUAAUAUUGACCUAAAGAUUAAAUAUAAUAUAGGAAUAAAUAAAAUUAAU